UAUGAUGGUUUUAAAUUGGGUCCUUCUAUCUCUCUCUCACUACACUAAAACAUAAAGUUGCCAGCCACCUUCCUUGACCCUUUGGUUUCCUAACAACAAAAUUUCUUCAACUCAUCAUCAUCUUCAAUACAAAAUUCACUAUUACAUGAAAACUCAAUUUCUAUAGAUAACCCAUUGCAUAACCCACAAUCGAUAUAAAAGGGGUAAUUCUAUAUUGAAGAUAGAGAUUCAAAGCAAAUCCCUCACUAUACAAUUUUUUCAUCUACUGUAAUCACAAAGCCUAUCGCAUAACCCACCAUAUGAGACACAACAAAACUCACCGAGCAGCAGAGAUCGGGAGCUCCUGAAACCUGUCGCCACCACCGUUGACCAUGACGGCGGCGCGUCGUCGUCAAAACCCUCGCCGGCGUCCAGUUCACCGUCGCAUAACUCCGGCCGUGAGUUGGUAGAAGUUGUGAAAGAUGCGAAAACGACAAAGGAUCCGACAUACGCUAAAAUAUUGAGUUCUACGUUGACUUCGAUAUUGGGUUGGGCUGAACAAAGACUUCUUGCGUAUCAUGAUACAUUUGAUAACGUAAACAUUAAUUCUAUGCAAAGUAUUGUGUCUUUAGGGGUAUCAGCUGCUAAAAUAUUGGUUGAAGAUAUAUCUAAUGAGUAUCGCCGAAGAUGGAAAAAUGAUACCGAUGUGGCGCGAAGUCGGACUGAUACGUACAUUAGGUCAUCGCUUCGAACGACUUUUGCUCAGUGUAUUAUUGAGCAUGGUGCACUCCCGUGCCUGUUGAGUUUGUUGGCCAAUAACCACAAAAAAGCAUCAAAUAAGAAGCCUGAUGGACAAUCUCAAACAUCACGGUUGGAAAGAAAUAACAAAUCUAGUCUGUAAUCGAAGCUGGGUUAAUCACUCCCCUGGUCCAUCUCCUUGAGACUGCUGAAUUUGAUAUAAAGAAAGAAGCUGAAUGGGCGCUUGCAAAUGCCACUUCUGCUUGCACUAAUGAAAAAAUGAAGUUACUUUUUACAUUCUUUAUAAACUCAAGAUCCUAAAUUGAGUUUAGCAAAGAUUGAGAACUUAUAGUCUCAGGAAAAUAAUGAAAUUUAUGAAAAUGCCGUGAAAAUUCUCGAGACUCACUGGUUGGAAGAAGAGGAGCCCAUGCUUGAUGGUUCACAGCUUGGUUUCGACUUUGGCGGUCCAACUGCCCAAGUUCUACCUGGUCCAAGGACCGAGUAUGGAAAUGCCCAGCUAGAAUGCAGUGCAGCUGACGAACAUGCCAAGUUGCUAGCUUCUGAGGUUAUUGGAUUAAAGGAGAAGGUACUACACACUCAUGGUAGCUAAUAUAUUCAAUUUAAUAUAUCUAUAUAUAUUCAAAAAUUUAGUUACAUGUUCCUAUGUGGCGCGAAGUCGGACUGAUACGUACAUUAGGUCAUCGCUUCGAACGGCUUUUGCUCAGGUAUGUUUUUUUUUUUGUUAUUAUAUUUUUAAGGGUAAAAUGCCAUUUUAGUCCCUGAGUUAUAUUAAAACAAAAAUGAGAUAUUUGUUUUGGCAACCAUUACUUAUUUCUUUCUACCUUCAUAUCAACAGACCUCAUAACAAAUUUAAUUAUAAUUGACUACUGAAACUUGAGAUGUUAUGUUAGUUACAACAACCCUUCCCACUGUCGUUUCAUAAAAAACCAAUAACUAUUAUGCAUGUCGUGCAUCGCACGGGUAUUCCCCCUAGUAUAUGUUAAAAACUAAACUGAAUGAACAGUUAUUAAAGGGCACACCAGUAAAUAGAGGUCGCACCUCUCCAGCUUUCCUCUACGUCUGAGAAUUGAUUCAGGCCACGCGUCUCAUGUGAAGGCCCAGUAUAAAACCCUAAACCUGCUUCACCCCACACACCGCCGAUUACAUGGAGAGAGAACGAUGAGAGAGAACGGUGGCUGGCCAUGUCCCGUGUGUGUUCCGGAACGGCGCCGUUGCCUAUCACUGGUGGUGUGGUGGUGACUAAAGAGAUUAUUAGUGUGUGGUGGUUCCGGAUUCAGGGUGCGGUUCCGGUGGUGAUUAGCGGCGUAGAGAAGAUGCUAGGGUUCCGGUGAAGGCCCUGCAAAUUUACGGUACCACAGGUGCGGGAUCAGCAUGAACGCCGAUGAGAGAUCUGAAAGUUUUAGGGUUCCGACGAAGUCAGCUUAGCUCCGAUGAGAACCCGCUUUCCUGAACCAGGUUUUGGUUUGUGAUGUGCUAGCUUUGGCUCUUGCAUUUGGUGUUUUGGAUGGUAAACCCUAAAGUCUUUCAACUGAUUGAUUGGUUUUCGACGUAGAAAGACGACUUCCAGCCAAAUUUGAUCAGUUCCGACGAGUGGGGUGAAGGUUUUGCUCAGAAUCCGGUCACCACAGAACUCAAAACAGGCGAGUAAGGGGUUGUAUAGAUGAAAUCGGACAAGAGGUGGACAAUGAUUGUUAAGAUGGGUUACGUUUGUAUAAGAAAAGGGCUGAUUGUUCAGUAUCAAUUUUCAUAUAGGCCCAUCAUUCAGUAUGCUUUGACAAGCUCAUCUUAGAGUAACAGUUGUCUCUGGAGCUAUGUUGUUGUGAGCAAGAUGUGCCUGGUGUUCGUGAAAGGCAAAGCUUAACUUCCCAGAGCGUGUUCAAGAUUAGUGAUUUCCCAUUGAAUUCAUGUUCGGAGAGGUGCACAUAGAGCAUAUAUCUACAGCCUUGCUUUCUCUACGACGACUGAAAGGCUGGCUGUUUCAAGUGACAGGAAAACCGUUCAUGUUUUCAACUUUAAGGUUCAAUAGGGGCCAUUGCAAACUGCCAUCAGACCCAUAUAGUGGAUAACAAAGGUAGUAUUCUUAAUUUAAUAUGUUGUUCAAGGUGCAGAUUUUAUAUAGCCAACUCUUGCUGGAAACGCUUGGUUGUGUACAUUCGAAAUAGCCAACACUUGCUGGAAAUGCUUUGAUAUAUGUAUUUUGACUUUAAUAUGUUGCUGAUUGUGCACUUUUGAUUA
Long non-coding RNA from Helianthus annuus (common sunflower), 2973 nucleotides. RefSeq lists it as uncharacterized. Lineage: Eukaryota; Viridiplantae; Streptophyta; Magnoliopsida; Asterales; Asteraceae. The record is from RefSeq and is a predicted model, not a curated record. The transcript is spliced from 10 exons.